This is a non-coding RNA of Pelobates cultripes (western spadefoot toad), 211 nucleotides long. NCBI's taxonomy places the organism in Eukaryota, Metazoa, Chordata, Amphibia, Anura, Pelobatidae. The record is from the annotation of a GenBank genome assembly.
GUUAGAGUGUGUGAGUGUGAGUGUUAGAGUGAUUGUUAGUGUGUGUGUGAGUGUUAGAGUGAGUGUUAGUGUGUGAGUGUUAGAGAGAGUGUUAGUGUUAGAGUGAGUGUUAGAGUGUGUGUGAGUGUUAGAGUGAGUGUGAGUGUUAGUGUGAGUGUUAGAGUGUGUGAGUGUGUUAGUGUGUGUGUCUGCUAGUGAGUGUCAGUGAGUG